GUGGUGGUGGCGGCGGUGCUGGUGGCGAGCGCGGACCGUCCCCCUUUAGUCCCAGCUAGGGAGAGAGGCUGGAGCAAGGGCAAUCAGCGGGCUGGGUCGGGGUGCGCCCGCGGAGGUGGGGGUGGGGGAGACGUGCGCGCAAGCUCGGGGACUCGGGCGCAGUCCACGUAGCCUCGGGGCGGCUCUCCAGUCUGCCGGCGCAGCCGGGAGACGGGCUCCUGGCGGUGAGAUUAGGCGGUGGGGUGUGGGGUGGCGGGCCAGACUAAUGCGGGACGGUCGGGUGCGGGAGACAGGGCUGGGGAGGGCAAAGGAGGCUCAGAGAGCAAUUUUCCAGUCCGGCCACGACAAGCCCCAUUGGGCUCCCAGCAGCCGUGGGGGCAGUGGGGGAGGGGGGAGGGCGCACGGGGCGGGCACGUCUGGUUCGGUGUCUGGUUCCCGUUGUUGUGUCUGGCUAAUUCCCUGGAAAGAAGAAGGCUAACUGCUUCGGGGACGCGGGCUUUGGUGAGACAAGGAAGGGUGUUGCGAUAAGAUUGUUCCUAUGAAGAAUUCUGCCUCGCUGAGCGCUUUUCCCUCCUACUGGCUCUCCUCCUCCCUCGCCCACGUCUUUGAGCAGACGAGAGCCGUGACUUUGCCUUUCCAGCGGUUCCGCCAGGCAAGACGACGUUGGUUUUUCUAUGUGUAGGGGGUUGACACGGUGGAACCAAGUGAUUUACUUGGUUCACAGUGAUGUUCCCCCUGUCCCCGCAGCCCCCGUGGCGGAGCAGACGGCAUGGGUUAUUUAUGGCACAGUCCGUGGCUUCGCUGGUCCACCGGAACCCCAGCCCUCCCCUGUGAACGUUUCAUCAUCUCUCCCCAAGACACAGGGUGGAUGCCUAAAAUCUUACAAAUGGCUGAAAAUUUCCAUAAGGGAGAGUGAGGUGAGUGGAUAUAGUGUCGCCAAUAUAAACGGAAUUUCGCUGUGGGAUUUGAAAAAAACCACUUUGCUCUUGAUACUAAAGAAAAUGUUGCCUUCUCCUCUCCACCUGACACUAAAAGCUCGGGCACCUUUCAAGG
Sorex fumeus (smoky shrew) is the source of this 1053-nucleotide long non-coding RNA. RefSeq lists it as uncharacterized. The record is from RefSeq and is a predicted model, not a curated record. The transcript is spliced from 3 exons. Lineage: Eukaryota; Metazoa; Chordata; Mammalia; Eulipotyphla; Soricidae.